AUUGAACGCUGGCGGCAGGCCUAACAUAUGCAAGUCGAACGAGUGGCGUACGGGUGAGUAAUGUCUGGGAAAUUUCCCGAUGGAGGGGGAUAACUACCGGUAACGGUAGCUACUACCGCAUUCCAUCCGUUGUGCUUCGUUGGGAUUAGAUGGUUGGUGGGGUAACGGCGCACCUAGGCGACGAUCCUUAGCUGGUCUGUGAGGAUGACCAGCCAAACUGGAACUGAGACACGGACCAGACUACAAGGGGAGGCAGCAGUGGGGAAUAUUAGACAAUUGGCGCAAGCCUGAUGCAGCCAUGCGGCGUGUAUGAAGAAGGCCUUAGGGUUGUAAAGUACUUUCAGCGAGGAGGCGUUACUCGCAGAAGAAGCACCGGAUAACUCCGUGCCAGCCGCCGCGGUAAUUC
Molecule: ribosomal RNA, 406 nt
Filed under: uncultured bacterium
Lineage: Bacteria
Description: partial 16S ribosomal RNA
Rfam family: Bacterial small subunit ribosomal RNA
Source: RNAcentral